ACUCAAAUGAAUUGACGGGGACCCGCACAAGCGGUGGAACAUGUGGUUUAAUUCGAUGACAAGCGAAGAACCUUACCGAGGCUUGACAUCCCUGGAAUCCCCUGGAAACAGGGGAGUGCCGUAAGGAACCAGGUGACAGGUGCUGCACGGUUGCCGUCAGCUCGUGCUGUGAAGUGUACCGUUAAGUCGGUCAACGAGCGCAACCCCUGCUCUGAGUUACUAUGUCUCAGAGGACUGCCGGCGUUAAGUCGGAGGAAGGUGGGGAUGACGUCAAAUCAGCGUGGCUCUUACGCCUCGGGCUACACACAUGUUACAAUGGAUAGACACAAAGGGUCGCAAUAGCGUAAGCUGGAGCUAAUCCCAUCAAAACUAUCCUCAGUUCGGAUUGAGGGCUGCAACUCGCCCUCAUGAAGUUGGAAUCGCUAGUAACCGUAGGUCAGCUACACUACGGUGAAUACGUUCUCGGGUCUUGUACACACCGCCCGU
RNAcentral lists this ribosomal RNA (486 nucleotides) under uncultured bacterium. RNAcentral's name for it is "partial 16S ribosomal RNA". It matches the Rfam family "Bacterial small subunit ribosomal RNA", at positions 899 to 1397 of the family's 1533-position model. The record is from RNAcentral.